AUACUGUAUAUAUAUAAGAUAUUUUACCUAUGCAGCUCAUUUGAAAAUUUAAUGUAAAGUUCUAUGUUGUGGGAUGUCUUUCUGUAUGCUGUGAAUAUGUGUUGCUCUGAUUGGUUGAUAAAUAAAGCUACAUUGGCCUAUGGCAAGGCAGCUUAGAGGCAGGUGGAAAUUCAAGCAGAUAGACAGGAAACAAAAAGAGAGGCGAAAAGAUGCCAGCCUGCCACCCAAGGAACAACAUGUCAGCAGACCAGUAAGCCAUGGAAUACAUGGCAAAACAUAGAUUAAUAGAAAUCGGUUAAUUUAAGUUAUAAGAGCUAGCUAGCAAGAAGUCUGACCCAUUAGGCCAUACAGUUUGUAAGUAAUAUAAACCUUUGUGUGUUUACUUGUCUGAGUGGCUGCUGGACAGGCAGGACACAGGAAAACUUCUGACUACAGUUCUAGUCCUUGAAAGCUACUUAGGAUAAUAAAGAAAUACAGUGAGACUCAUCUGCUCCUGGCAGCACCAAUUUACUUCAAAAGAGGAUGAUGGGCAUCAAAGAACCUUCAUAUGGAGUUUGCUUUCAAUGUGGCAAAGUUAGCCACUGGACAAGAAAUUGCCCUUGCCUUGACUGCUGACAGUAUGCUGUCCAAACUGGACAAGCAAGACAGAAAAGAAGGAGACUGCCAAACUUUGCCAAGAAAAGAGCAAGGGCACCAGACACCAAUGAAAAUGGAUGGUCCAAGUGAUCCAGCAUCCAAAACAACUUCAAGACUGCUGGCUGAGAUGGUCCACCUUCACAGAUGACUCUAGCUGGGACUUCAUUAUUAUCCCAAUUUUCUUAGGGUCCCCCAAAGAUUUCCAAUGCCCCCAAUCAACAGGAAGCAGUCUAGAGAACUAUGCCCACAUUCCAAAAAUAUUGGUUAUAGAUGUUUGUUAUCAUUUAAAGGGGUUGGUUACAAGAUGUUAUUGGUAAUGGUCAGAAAAAAAGCUGAACAAAGGAGAAUAGAUUCAAGAAUCUCUUUUUGAAAAGAAAAAGGGGUGAUAUAGAAAUGGUAGGAUAAAAGAGUAGAUUGAUUAUUGAAUAUACUUUUAAACCAAAAAACAACUAUUAAACUCAAAAUAUUUUA
Molecule: long non-coding RNA, 1107 nt
Organism: Peromyscus eremicus (cactus mouse)
Lineage: Eukaryota; Metazoa; Chordata; Mammalia; Rodentia; Cricetidae
Exons: 3
Source: RefSeq, a predicted model, not a curated record